Molecule: ribosomal RNA, 515 nt
Filed under: uncultured bacterium
Lineage: Bacteria
Description: partial 16S ribosomal RNA
Rfam family: Bacterial small subunit ribosomal RNA
Source: RNAcentral
AGCGAACGCUGGCGGCGUGCCUAACACAUGCAGGUCGAACGUGAACGGGGGCAACCCCUAGUAAAGUGGCGUACGGGUGAAUAACACGUAGGUAAUCUACCCUAAAGUUUGGAAUAACCUGCCGAAAGGCGGGCUAAUACUGGAUAGAGCGAUGGAACUCGUAAAGAGUUUUUCGGGAAAGGGAGCCCGCAAGGGCCUUCGCUUUAGGAUGAGCCUGCGUCUCAUUAGCUAGUUGGUGGGGUAACGGCCCACCAAGGCGAUGAUGGGUAGCUGGUCUGAGAGGAUGAUCAGCCACACUGGAACUGAAACACGGUCCAGACUCCUACGGGAGGCAGCAGUGGGGAAUCUCGCGCAAUGGACGAAAGUCUGACGCAGCCACGCCGCGUGAGUGAAGAAGGCCUUCGGGUUGUAAAGCUCUGUCGAGCGGGACGAAAAUCUUUCAGGUGAAUAGCCUGAGGGAGUGACGGUACCGCUAAAGGAAGCACCGGCUAACUUCGUGCCAGCCGCCGCAGUAA